This 532-nucleotide ribosomal RNA is filed under the name Agrilus salicis. Its description in RNAcentral is "partial 16S ribosomal RNA". It matches the Rfam family "Bacterial large subunit ribosomal RNA", at positions 1804 to 2611 of the family's 2925-position model. Lineage: Eukaryota; Metazoa; Arthropoda; Insecta; Coleoptera; Buprestidae. The record is from RNAcentral.
UUAACAAAAACAUGUCUUUUUGCUUAUAUUUUAAAGUUUGAUCUGCCCAAUGAAAAAUUAAAUGGCCGCGAUAUUUUGAUCGUGCGAAGGUAGCAUAAUCAUUAGCUUUUUAAUUGAGAGCUGGAAUGAAUGAUUGGACGAGAAAUUAACUGUCUCAUUUUUAUUUUUUGAAUUUUAUUUUUGAGUUAAAAAGCUUAAAUGUUGGUGUGGGACGAGAAGACCCUAUAGAGUUUAAUAUUUUAUUAGUUAUUAAGAUUUUAGAUUUUAUUUUUCUUAUUUAAUAAAAAUAUUUAGUUGGGGUGACGGAAAAACUUAGUGAACUUUUUUUUUUGAAAUAUUAAUUAAUAUAUAUUUGACUUGAUUUAUUCAGUUAUAAGAUUAAAUUACCUUAGGGAUAACAGCGUUAUUUUUUUUGAGAGUUCUUAUCGAAAGAAAAGAUUGCGACCUCGAUGUUGGAUUAAAGUUAAAUUUUUGGUGUAGAAGCUAAAUUAUUUAGUCUGUUCGACUAUUAAAACUUUACAUGAUCUGAGUU